RNAcentral lists this ribosomal RNA (389 nucleotides) under Enterobacteriaceae bacterium AE_22. Its description in RNAcentral is "bacterial SSU rRNA". It matches the Rfam family "Bacterial small subunit ribosomal RNA", at positions 19 to 406 of the family's 1533-position model. The record is from RNAcentral. Lineage: Bacteria; Pseudomonadati; Pseudomonadota; Gammaproteobacteria; Enterobacterales; Enterobacteriaceae.
CUGGCUCAGAUUGAACGCUGGCGGCAGGCCUAACACAUGCAAGUCGAACGGUAGCACAGAGAGCUUGCUCUCGGGUGACGAGUGGCGGACGGGUGAGUAAUGUCUGGGAAACUGCCCGAUGGAGGGGGAUAACUACUGGAAACGGUAGCUAAUACCGCAUAACGUCUUCGGACCAAAGUGGGGGACCUUCGGGCCUCACACCAUCGGAUGUGCCCAGAUGGGAUUAGCUAGUAGGUGGGGUAAUGGCUCACCUAGGCGACGAUCCCUAGCUGGUCUGAGAGGAUGACCAGCCACACUGGAACUGAGACACGGUCCAGACUCAUACGGGAGGCCGCAGUGGGGAAUAUUGCACAAUGGGCGCAAGCCUGAUGCAUCCAUGCCGCGUGUAU